CAGCCGCCGCGGUAAUACCGGCGGCCCGAGUGGCGGUCACUAUUAUUGGGCUUAAAGCGUCCGUAGCCGGGUUGGGAAGUCCUCCGGGAAAUCUGGCCGCUUAACGGUCAGAAUGCCGGAGGAUACUCCCAGCCUAGGGAGCGGGAGAGGCCGAGGGUAUUCCCGGAGUAGGGGUGAAAUCCUAUAAGCCCGGGAGGACCACCUGUGGCGAAGGCGCUCGGCUGGAACGCGUCCGACGGUGAGGGACGAAGGCCAGGGGAGCAAACCGGAUUAGAUACCCGGGUAGUCCUGGCUGUAAACGAUGCGGACUUUGUGUCGGACAAGCUAUGAGCUUGUCCGGUGCCGGAGGGAAACCGUUAAGUCCGCCGCCUGGGGAGUACGGCCGCAAGGCUGAAACUUAAAGGAAUUGGCGGG
RNAcentral lists this ribosomal RNA (414 nucleotides) under uncultured microorganism. Its description in RNAcentral is "bacterial SSU rRNA". It matches the Rfam family "Archaeal small subunit ribosomal RNA", at positions 459 to 872 of the family's 1478-position model. The record is from RNAcentral.